UCCUUUUUCUCCUGUUUGAAUCGAUAGGUAAACUGACGGCUGCAUUAAAUAUCGAUACAGAAAAAUGUAGGGGGUAUAAAAGACGACCCAUUCGACGUUGGAUUUACAAACCUCCACCAUCUCCUAAAUAGAAAAUGAAGUUGUUUCUGAUUGUCUUCCUUUUGGCUGUCGUCUGUUUGGCCGUCGCUGCUGGGUUGGCCCCACCACCUGGACCUCCCAAACCUCCCGGACCCCCCGGACCCCCUAUUAGGACGACAACAACCACGUCCACUGUGAGAACGACAACAACUCCUGUCACGACGACAACAGUCCGGCCAAUAAAAACAAGAAAACCCAAGAAAACCACCGCGACGACAACGACCACCAGCCAGCCAACCACCUCGACAACAGCAACAACAUCGACGACACGGCCAAGUCCUACUACCACCGUCAACCCAACGACCACGACUACCGCCCCACCUACCGUAACCUGCACUGCUGUAGCCAAUUCCGCAAUAUCUGAAUCACCUUGCGGGACUUGUACGCCGCUGUCGUCAACGAACGGAACGAUCGAGUCACUUCACUUCCCAAACGACUACGGCGUGUACUUUCCUAAUAUCUCGUACAUCAACUGCCUCUACACGAUCACGGCCUCACCGGGCAGGAAAAUAAAACUGACAUUCAUCAAUAAAUUCGUCGUGGAUCAGAAUAAUGACUUUAUCACUAUUUAUGACGGAAUGGCUCCCAACGGAACGAUUCUAGCGGACUCUCUCACCGGUUACGUCCUACCCCCUGCUCCGUUUACGACCGUCACGACUAACCAAAUGGUGGUCAGUUUCAAGACGGAUAAAAAUAAUGUCGGUCUACCGUUUCGUUUCAGGCCAGCCGGUUGGCAAGCGAAUUACACGAUAGUGCCGAUAAGCGCAGCGACAACAACAACCAAAGUCGCCUCAUCAUCGACGCUGUCGACAACAACAAAAACAACUCCAACUCCUUCCGGGCCGAUUCUUUUAAAUUGCACUGUUUAUGAUCCAGCCUGUGGAAAUGUGUGCACCAAUGUGACGUCAUCGGGCACCGGUGUCGUCCAGUCUCCCAACUUCCCCGGCGACUACGGCAAUAAGGACAGGGCUUGCGUUGUCAUCAUCACCGCGCCAGUAGGUUGGAUGAUCCAAUUGAAAUUCACCACCUUCAAUUUGGAGACUGAUGUAGCCUAUGUUGAUGUUCACGAUGAUUCCGUGUAUCUAUUGUCCGCUACAACCGGCAACACAAUUCCUGCCCUAGUCCCCGCAACCAUCAACAAAAUGUACAUCACUUUUCAGUGUUCCGCCAGUACUAAACCCAGCACCGCCAUAUACAAUUGGCAGGCGACUUUCUCUGUGACGAGCCAAGGGAGUUCUUGUUCCGUUGAUGAUCCAGCGUGUGGAACUAUGUGCACCAAUGUGACGUCGGCGGGAGGUGUUGUCCAGUCUGGCAACUUCCCCGGCGACUACGGGAAUUGGGACGGAAAUUGCGGAGUCACCAUAACCACGCCAGCCGGAUGGAUGAUCCAAUUGAACUUCACCACCUUCAAUUUGGAGACUGACAAAGCCAAUGUCUAUGUGUUCGCUGACUCAGUUUAUCUAUUGCCUUAUACAACCGGCAACACAAUUCCCGCCCUAGUCCCCACAACAACCGACGCAAUGGAAGUCGGCUUUCUAAUUGGUACCAGUAGUAAACCCAGCAACGCCAUAUACAAUUGGCAGGCAACUUUUUCUGUCUCGAGCCAAGGGAGUUCUUGUUACGUUCACGAUCCAGCAGCCUGUGGCAAUAUGUGCACCAAUGCCACGUCAGCUGGCACCGGUGUUGUCCAGUCUCCCAACUUCCCCGCCGACUACGGGAGUGACAACAUGUAUUGCAGAGUCACCGUUAUCGUGCCAGCAGGAAAGAAAAUCCAAUUGACAUUCACCACCUUCAAUUUGGAGACUGGCAAAGGAUUGAUUAAAGUUUACGACAAAACCACGACUUAUUUGAACAGUGUAACCGGAAGUACAAUUCCUGCAAUAGUCACCACAAAAACCGACAUCGCGUACAUCCAGUUUUAUAUGUAUGCCAGUACUAAACCCCCCACCGCAACGUACAAUUGGCAGGCGACUUACACUGCUUCGGAUGGUGUAGAUGCAACAAGUACAACACCUCGGCUGAGUACAAUGAAAACAACAACAACAACCAUCAAAUAAAUUCCUUUGCUUUGCAGAUUUACGGCGGGAUAUCCGAUUUGGGUGCGAAUCCGCCAGUAUUGAACAGGAUCUACUAAUCAUUCCAUCCAGUUUUCCUGCUCUUUCGAUAAUCUUACUAACCCCAAUAGUUAUUUAGAUGUCAUGUAUUCCUUGGACAUGGACUAUGUGCGUGUGCCUGUAGCUACAACAGAAUAUAUUUUUCAAGUGAUCCUUAUCUGGCGCUAUUGAAUCGUUUCACCAACGGGAAUCAAUUUCAUUGCUAUUGGAAACAGUUCACCAUAUCAACGACCAACGAUUUCAAGAGUUAUUAGUUAUUAGAGUUAUCGCUGGAUUCCU
Molecule: unclassified non-coding RNA, 2531 nt
Filed under: Daphnia pulicaria
Lineage: Eukaryota; Metazoa; Arthropoda; Branchiopoda; Diplostraca; Daphniidae
Description: cUB and sushi domain-containing protein 2-like, transcript variant X1
Source: RNAcentral